GACGAACGCUGGCGGCGUGCUUAACACAUGCAAGUCGAACGGAAAGGCCCUGCUUUUGUGGGGUGCUCGAGUGGCGAACGGGUGAGUAACACGUGAGUAACCUGCCCUUGACUUUGGGAUAACUUCAGGAAACUGGGGCUAAUAUCGGAUAGGAGCUCCUGCUGCAUGGUGGGGGUUGGUAAGUUUCGGCGGUUGGGGAUGGACUCGCGGCUUAUCAGCUUGUUUGUGGGGUAGUGGCUUACCAAGGCUUUGACGGGUAGCCGGCCUGGGAGGGUGACCGGCCACAAUGGGACUAAGAUACGGAGCAGACUCCUACGGGAGGCAGCAGUGGGGAAUAUUGCACAAUGGGCGGAAGCCUGAUGCAGAAGCGCCGCGUGCGGAAUGCCGGCCUUCGGGUUGUAAACAGCUUUCGCAUGUGACGAAGAGUGAGUGACGGUAAUGGGUAAAGAAGCACCGGCUAACUACGUG
This 468-nucleotide ribosomal RNA is filed under the name uncultured bacterium. RNAcentral describes it as "partial 16S ribosomal RNA". It matches the Rfam family "Bacterial small subunit ribosomal RNA", at positions 28 to 507 of the family's 1533-position model. The record is from RNAcentral.